RNAcentral lists this unclassified non-coding RNA (173 nucleotides) under uncultured Phomopsis. RNAcentral describes it as "sequence contains ITS1". Lineage: Eukaryota; Fungi; Ascomycota; Sordariomycetes; Diaporthales; Cytosporaceae. The record is from RNAcentral.
CUGGAACGCGCUUCGGCGCACCCAGAAACCCUUUGUGAACUUAUACCUACUGUUGCCUCGGCGCAGGCCGGCCUCUUCGCUGAGGCCCCCUGGAGACAGGGAGCAGCCCGCCGGCGGCCAACUAAACUCUUGUUUCUUUAGUGAAUCUCUGAGUAAAAAACAUAAAUGAAUCA